GACGAACGCUGGCGGCGUGGAUUAGGCAUGCAAGUCGAACGGUAUCAUCCUUUCGGGGGUGAGAGAGUGGCGAACUGGUGAGUAACACGUAGGUUAUCUACCCUCAAGACGGGGACAACCCAGGGAAACUUGGGCUAAUACCGGAUGUGAGCAACUUUUAGUUGUUUGAAAGGUGGCGUAAGCUGUCGCUUGGGGAUGAGCCUGCGUCCUAUUAGUUAGUUGGUGAGGUAACGGCUCACCUAGGCAAUGAUAGGUAGGCGGCCUUAACGGGUGGUCGCCCACACUGGGAUUGAGAUACGGCCCAGACUCCUACGGGAGGCAGCAGUCGAGAAUAGUCUACAAUGGUCGGAAGACUGAUAGUGCGACGCCGCGUGAACGAUGAAUCCCUUCGGGGUGUAAAAGUUCUUUUAUAUGUGAGCAGUGCUUCUUAUAUUAACAGUAUGGGGAGAGAGAUAUUAGCAUAUGAAUAAAGCAACGGCUAAACUCCGUGCCAGCAGCCGCGGUAAA
This 507-nucleotide ribosomal RNA is filed under the name uncultured bacterium. Its description in RNAcentral is "bacterial SSU rRNA". It matches the Rfam family "Bacterial small subunit ribosomal RNA", at positions 28 to 524 of the family's 1533-position model. The record is from RNAcentral.